UCCGAGUUGUCCCCGGCAGUCUCUUAUGAGUCCCCGGCAUAACCCGCUGGUAACAUAAGACAAGGGUUGCGCUCGUUGCGGGACUUAACCCAACAUCUCACGACACGAGCUGACGACAGCCAUGCACCACCUGUCAUGGGCCCUUUCGGACACCGUAUCUCUACGGCUUUUCCCAUGAUGUCAAACCCAGGUAAGGUUCUUCGGGUCGCAUCGAAUUAAGCCGCAUGCUCCGCCGCUUGUGCGGGGACCCGUCAAUUCCUUUGAGUUUUAGCCUUGCGGCCGUACUCCCCAGGCGGGGCACUUAAUGCGUUAGCUUCGGCACGGCAACCGUUGAUCGGGUCGCCACACCUAGUGCCCAACGUUUACAGCGUGGACUAC
This 378-nucleotide unclassified non-coding RNA is filed under the name uncultured Acidimicrobiia bacterium. RNAcentral describes it as "contains 16S-23S intergenic spacer region". The record is from RNAcentral. Lineage: Bacteria; Bacillati; Actinomycetota; Acidimicrobiia.